ACAGGUGGUCUAGAGGUUAGAGUGGUGGUAGACAGGUGGUCUAGAGGUUAGAGUGGUGGUAGACAGGUGGUCUAGAGGUUAGAGAGGUGGUAGACAGGUGGUCUAGAGGUUAGAGUGGUGGUAGACAGGUGGUCUAGAGGUUAGAGUGGUGGUAGACAGGUGGUCUAGAGGUUAGAGAGGUGGUAGACAGGUGGUCUAGAGGUUAGAGAGGUGGUAGACAGGUGGUCUAGAGGUUAGAGUGGUGGUAGACAGGUGGUCUAGAGGUUAGAGAGGUGGUCUAGAGGUUAGAGUGGUGGUAGACAGGUGGUCUAGAGGUUAGAGAGGUGGUAGACAGGUGGUCUAGAGGUUAGAGUGGUGGUAGACAGGUGGUCUAGAGGUUAGAGUGGUGGUAGACAGGUGGUCUAGAGGUUAGAGAGGUGGUAGACAGGUGGUCUAGAGGUUAGAGAGGUGGUAGACAGGUGGUCUAGAGGUUAGAGUGGUGGUAGACAGGUGGUCUAGAGGUUAGAGAGGUGGUCUAGAGGUUAGAGUGGUGGUAGACAGGUGGUCUAGAGGUUAGAGAGGUGGUAGACAGGUGGUCUAGAGGUUAGAGAGGUGGUAGACAGGUGGUCUAGAGGUUAGAGAGGUGGUAGACAGGUGGUCUAGAGGUUAGAGAGGUGGUAGACAGGUGGUCUAGAGGUUAGAGUGGUGGUAGACAGGUGGUCUAGAGGUUAGAGUGGUGGUAGACAGGUGGUCUAGAGGUUAGAGUGGUGGUAGACAGGUGGUCUAGAGGUUAGAGUGGUGGUAGACAGGUGGUCUAGAGGUUAGAGAGGUGGUAGACAGGUGGUCUAGAGGUUAGAGUGGUGGUAGACAGGUGGUCUAGAGGUUAGAGUGGUGGUAGACAGGUGGUCUAGAGGUUAGAGAGGUGGUAGACAGGUGGUCUAGAGGUUAGAGAGGUGGUAGACAGGUGGU
Oncorhynchus keta (chum salmon) is the source of this 948-nucleotide long non-coding RNA. RefSeq lists it as uncharacterized. The transcript is spliced from 3 exons. NCBI's taxonomy places the organism in Eukaryota, Metazoa, Chordata, Actinopteri, Salmoniformes, Salmonidae. The record is from RefSeq and is a predicted model, not a curated record.